AAUGGCUAAAUCGUAUCUGACAGGCAGUGUACGUGCAGCUCUGUGAAUGUUUAUGUAAGUGUGUGUCCCUGACUGUCCACUGAGAGGUGCACACACACACACACACACAAAUACACACAGGCUCUCUCUCAUACACAAACACACACACAGCGAGGCAGUGUUAGGAGCUUCAGGGUGUCUCUGCUCAGAGUGCAGCGGUCUCUUGCUGGUGCUGGAUGUAAUCAGUCAGCGGAUCAGUCUUCCAGCAGGAGGAAGGUUGGCUGUGGAGUUGGUCUGUGAAAGUACACUGCAACAAUGAUCAUCAGACUCGGAAGACUGACUCCAGGAUACUUCCGUCUUCUGCAGCGGCAGGUCUCUGGUGAAGUGCGGAUGCAGCCGCAGACUGGCCCUGUCAACCACAUCGCUAUGACGAUGGCCACAGUGGGAUUAGGGAUGUCCUGCUACAGUGCCCGGCAGAUGGCUGAGCGGGUCCACCUGAAGGAGGCUUCAGCCUGAGAUGCCGCCCCCUAGAGGCCACGAGAGGACACCUCUCUGCCCAAAAGACCAUGGGGCACGUUCAGGACUCAGACCUGCUACACGAUUGGUGUUUAAAUAGGUCUGUGCAAAAGAUUCCAUAAAGUGACAUGGAUGACUGCCCUACCUGGAAUAUCCUCCAGGACAACUUAUAACCUCUACUUUCCUGUCUUUACAUCUUUUUAUAUCUUCAGCAAUUAGCCCUGAUGGUGUGACAAGCUAUGUGGUCAGUGUUUAAAGAUUCAUCAAUAAUGUAAUGUUCAGGUAACAUACAUACCUUUACUGUAAGUAAUUGCACUUAAUUCUGACAUUAAACCAGUGACAUUGUCACCACUCACCAGACACUAAAUCAAACUAAAAUGGAAAAACCUGAUAAUUUCAUUUUACCUGACUAAUGUGAAGGAGUGGAUCUUACCAUGAAUAUGAGGCUUGGUUGAUGAGGUUCGGUGUUUUUGUAUGUUGAAAUGUGUUUGUUGGAAAAUGAUGGAAUGCUAAGCUGUGUGUUAACAGAGAUGAGUUUUCUGGAAAGUGUUGUGAAGGAAAAGUGAAAGUGCUGCUCCUCUGAAAGACGUUUGCCCUUCGUGUUUGUCACUACCAAACGUUUUUGUUGCUUUAACAUGGAGAUGUCUUUGUGUAUGAGACAAACUCUGACUAUACUUGACAUAUGUACAUCCUGACACUGUUUAUCUUACAUGUGUAACAAGCAAAAGCUUAAUGAAAUAAUACUGUAAGACUUAGGCUACUUUAUAGGAAUACUAAGAAUACAUUAGUCAUCACACUACUGUGGGAUUUGCCACUUUUACUAACUCAUCAUAAGAAUUGCACCUGUAUUAGCCUACUUUGUUAACUGAAUGGAACUUUAUACUGUGCACCAAACUGUUUUUUAAACUGUGAAUAAAAUUUCUUUUAAAUAAUU
This is a long non-coding RNA of Alosa alosa (allis shad), 1429 nucleotides long. RefSeq lists it as uncharacterized. NCBI's taxonomy places the organism in Eukaryota, Metazoa, Chordata, Actinopteri, Clupeiformes, Clupeidae. The transcript is spliced from 3 exons. The record is from RefSeq and is a predicted model, not a curated record.